GAUGAACGCUGGCGGCGUGCCUAACACAUGCAAGUCGAGCGGAGAAUUGUUGCUUGCAACAAUUCUUAGCGGCGGACGGGUGAGUAACACGUGGGUAACCUGCCCUAAACAAAGGGAUAACAAUGAGAAAUCAUUGCUAAUACCGUAUACGCUUACACUAACGCAUGAUAGAGUAAGAAAAGAUUUAUCGGUUUAGGAGGGGCGCGCGUCUGAUUAGUUAGUUGGAGUGGUAACGUCUCACCAAGGCGACGAUCAGUAGCCGACCAGAGAGGGAGAUCGGCCACAGGGGGACUAAGACACGGCGCAAACUCCUACGGGAGGCAGCAGUGGGGAAUAUUGCACAAUGGAGGAACCUCUGAUGCAGCAACGCCGCGUGAAGGAAGAAGGUUUUCGGAUCAUAAACUUCUAUCUACAGGGAAGAAAAAAAUGACGGUACCUGAGGAAGAAGCCCCGGCUAACUACGUG
RNAcentral lists this ribosomal RNA (465 nucleotides) under uncultured bacterium. RNAcentral's name for it is "partial 16S ribosomal RNA". It matches the Rfam family "Bacterial small subunit ribosomal RNA", at positions 28 to 507 of the family's 1533-position model. The record is from RNAcentral.